Haliotis rubra (blacklip abalone) is the source of this 1086-nucleotide long non-coding RNA. RefSeq lists it as uncharacterized. Lineage: Eukaryota; Metazoa; Mollusca; Gastropoda; Lepetellida; Haliotidae. The record is from RefSeq and is a predicted model, not a curated record. The transcript has 5 exons.
GUCAGAACUGAUUAAGACAAGGAUGAUAAUGAGGUAGGGGAUAAUGACAUACAUGAUAAUGUUGUUUGUGAUAGUGACAGGAUGAUAGUUUUGAAUGUGAUAAUGACCGGUAUGAUAAAGGUGGUAGUAAUAGUGACAGAUAUGAUUUUGUUGGAUGUAAUAAUUACAGGUAUGAUAAUGUUGGAUGUAAUAAUUACAGGUAUGAUAGGGUUGGAUGUAAUAAUUACAGGUAUGAUAAUGUUGGAUGUGGUUAUGACAGGUAUGAAAAUGGUGGAUGUAAUAAUAACAGGUAUGAUAAUGUUGGAUGUAAUAAUAACAGGUAUGAUUAUGUUGGAUGUGGUUAUGACAGGUAUGAAAAUGUUGGAUGUAGUAAUGACAGGUAUGGUAACGUUGGAUGUGGUUAUGGCAGGUAUAAACAAAUGUUCGAUGUAAUAAUAACAGGUAUGAUGAUGUUUGAUGUAAUAAUGGCAGGUAUGAUAAUGUUGGAUGUGGUAAUAACAGGUAUGAUAAUGUUGGAUGUGGUUAUGAAAGGUAUGAAGAUGUUGGAUGUAGUAAUGACAGGUAUGGUAAUGUUGGAUGAGGUAAUUACAGAUAUGAUCAUUUUGGAUGUAAUAAUUACAGGUAUGAUGAUUUUGGAUGUAAUGAUUACAGAUAUAAUAAUGUUAGAUGUAAUAAUAACAGGUAUGAUAAAGUUAGAUGCAAUAAUUACAGGUAUAAUAAUUUUGGAUGUAGUAAUGACAGGAAUGAUAAUACUGGAUGUGGUAAUAACAGGUAUGAUAAUGUUGGAUGUAGUAAUAACAGGCAUGAUGAUGUUGGAUGUGGUAAUGACAGGUAUGAUAAUGUUGGAUGUAAUAAUCACAGGUAUGAUAAUGUUGGAUGUAGUUAUGACAGAUAUGAUAAUGUUGGAUGUAAUAUCUACAGGUAUGAUAAAGUUGGAUGUAAUAAUAGCAGGUGUGAUAAUGUUGGAUGUAAUAAUGACAGGUGUGAUAAUGCUAGAUGCUGCAAUUACUGCAUUUACUUCAUUUCAUCUUAACAAACUUUCUCUAACCAAGAACACCUUAAUCCUUUCUAAUUUGUAUACACAAC